RNAcentral lists this transfer RNA (82 nucleotides) under Candidatus Moanibacter tarae. RNAcentral's name for it is "Candidatus Moanabacter tarae tRNA-Leu". It matches the Rfam family "tRNA". From Rfam's summary of the family: Transfer RNA (tRNA) molecules are approximately 80 nucleotides in length. The record is from RNAcentral. Lineage: Bacteria; Pseudomonadati; Verrucomicrobiota; Opitutia; Puniceicoccales.
GCCUGGGUGGUGGAAUUGGCAGACACGCUAGAUUUAGGAUCUAGUGCCGAAAGGCGUGCGGGUUCGAGUCCCGCCCCGGGCA